AAAUAUCGUUGUGAAGACAAAGAUGGUAAAAUUCAAGGAAUAUAAGAAAAUGAAUUUAAGAAGAAAGAUUUUGACAUUGUUUUUCCAGUUGACCAGAAACUGACCACUAUUAACUCUACAAAAACAAUUCCAGUUAAUUAUGGAAGCUAUCUUAAGGUGGAGAAGGUCAUCCAUUUAUUCUGGAUCAGCCUUUUCUAAGUUCACAUUGAGCACUUACUAGGUAUCAGAACUUGUGCUAGGAAUUGUGGGUUUACAAAGAUAAAUAAAACAUGGUUCCUGCAUUUAAAUAGAAUCUCCAACUAGAGGGAAAUAGGCAUAUACAAUUAAGUGAAUAAAAUAAUACUACACUUAGGGUUUGAACAAUAUUGCCAUUGAGAACACAGCCAGUUAUUAGUUCUUCUUUUGUGGAAAUGUGGUAUGUUGCAAUAAUAUUUACAAAUUUAUCUCCUCCUCGUGUCUAUGUCCUUGUAAUUCAUGCAGAAGUGGAGUUUAUUUUUCUAUCCCUUUAAUUUGGGCUGGCUCUGUGACUUGCUUUGGCCAAUAGAAUGUAUCACCAAUGGCUACAGGAGUCAUUUUCACUUUCACUCUUGUUUUUGGAAUCUUGCUCUCACCAUGGGCACAAGCCUGGGAUAACCUUCUGGAACAUGAGAGUCCAUAUGGAACAGAGGCAAGCUCUUCCAGCUAAGGAUCCCCUAGAUUAGCCUGCCAAUAGCUAAACACAGAUACCCAAGAUAACACCUGACCUGGACUUCAAAGGGAGUGGUUUCUACAGAAAGAAAAGAAUGAGAAGAGCAGGAUGUUCCAGACAGAAGAGGAAGCAUAAACAAAGGCAUGUGGCUUUGUGUUCAUGGUGUUCUGGGAAUAACCAACAUUGUAGUUGGAGUCAUGAAGAAUUUAAACCAAGAACUACAGAAGGCUAAGGACAAGAUGGUGAAGGUGUCUUCCAACCUCUUCACUGAGGAAGCAAAGGAUUUUCAAGAGAUAAUUUUGAGCAUAUGCAAUCUUCUUUUUGGUCUAAUGGCUGAAACCUGGAUAACAUGUGCGUCCACCGUAUGGGGGACCAUAAGAACAAAAAGGACUCAUGUGAAGAUCAGGGUGUUCUAUUUUCCUUUAACAUUUCCUUAGAAAAUAGCCAAGUCUGAAUUACAGACAUCCGAGCACACUGUAAUGAAAGAUUUAUACUCUGCAACCAAGCAGUCACUUUGUAUAGCAAAUUAAUUCCUCCCUCCUGCAACUACUUUUAAGCAGAUGCUAGUUUUCGCUUUAAUUACAUAAACUACUACAAUUUUAGUGUUCAUCAAAAUAGCGCUAAUUGGUCAAAAGUUAAGAUAGACACAUUGCAGAAUAUUUGAAGAAUAUAUGCUUAAAGUAUUAAAAUUCUUGUUUUUAAUUUCUGACCUGAAUAUACAAAAAUAUUAGGGGCAUUCAGUUAAAGACUCAUAGAAAAUAUCUCAUACAUCCCAUGAACACUGUAUAUGUGGUCCCACUUCCUAUUUGAUUCAGAUUUAACUUGUUGACUACCUAUUACUUGACUAGCGCUUCUACAACAUUUGAACAAUACUCGGAAAAUAAAUGAAAUGUCACAUUAUAUUGGGAAUUUGUU
Molecule: long non-coding RNA, 1603 nt
Filed under: Vulpes vulpes (red fox)
Lineage: Eukaryota; Metazoa; Chordata; Mammalia; Carnivora; Canidae
Description: lncRNA (ENSVVUG00000028329.1)
Source: RNAcentral